UACGAAGGGUGCAAGCGUUACUCGGAAUUACUGGGCGUAAAGCGUGCGUAGGUGGUUCGUUAAGUCUGAUGUGAAAGCCCCGGGCUCAACCUGGGAACUGCAUUGGAUACUGGCGAUCUGGAGUGCGGUAGAGGGUGGCGGAAUUCCCGGUGUAGCAGUGAAAUGCGUAGAUAUCGGGAGGAACAUCCGUGGCGAAGGCGGCCACCUGGACCAGCACUGACACUCAGGUGCGACAGCGUGGGGAGCAAACAGG
This 253-nucleotide ribosomal RNA is filed under the name uncultured bacterium. Its description in RNAcentral is "partial 16S ribosomal RNA". It matches the Rfam family "Bacterial small subunit ribosomal RNA", at positions 524 to 776 of the family's 1533-position model. The record is from RNAcentral.